UACGAAGGGGGCUAGCGUUGUUCGGAAUGACUGGGCGUAAAGCGCGCGUAGGCGGACCAGCAAGUCAGGGGUGAAAGCCCGGGGCUCAACCCCGGAACGGCACCCGAUACUCCUGGGCUCGAGACCGGGAGAGGUGGGUGGAAUACCCAGUGUAGAGGUGAAAUUCGUAGAUAUUGGGUGGAACACCGGUGGCGAAGGCGGCCCACUGGCCCGGUUCUGACGCUGAGGCGCGAAAGCGUGGGGAGCAAACAGG
This 253-nucleotide ribosomal RNA is filed under the name uncultured bacterium. RNAcentral describes it as "partial 16S ribosomal RNA". It matches the Rfam family "Bacterial small subunit ribosomal RNA", at positions 524 to 776 of the family's 1533-position model. The record is from RNAcentral.